This 107-nucleotide ribosomal RNA is filed under the name Hysteromorpha triloba. RNAcentral describes it as "partial 5.8S ribosomal RNA". It matches the Rfam family "5.8S ribosomal RNA", at positions 50 to 154 of the family's 154-position model. From Rfam's summary of the family: 5.8S ribosomal RNA (5.8S rRNA) is a component of the large subunit of the eukaryotic ribosome. It is transcribed by RNA polymerase I as part of the 45S precursor that also contains 18S and 28S rRNA. Functionally, it is thought that 5.8S rRNA may be involved in ribosome translocation. The record is from RNAcentral. Lineage: Eukaryota; Metazoa; Platyhelminthes; Trematoda; Diplostomida; Diplostomidae.
CAACUGUGUGAAUUAAUGUGAACUGCGUACUGCUUUGAACAUCGACAUCUUGAACGCAUAUUGCUGCCGCGGGAUAUCCCGUGGCCACGUCUGGCCGAGGGUCGGCU